This 791-nucleotide ribosomal RNA is filed under the name uncultured Glomus. Its description in RNAcentral is "SSU rRNA". It matches the Rfam family "Eukaryotic small subunit ribosomal RNA", at positions 327 to 1114 of the family's 1831-position model. The record is from RNAcentral. Lineage: Eukaryota; Fungi; Glomeromycota; Glomeromycetes; Glomerales; Glomeraceae.
GGUAGGAUAGAGGCCUACCAUGGUGGUAACGGGUAACGGGGAAUUAGGGUUCGAUUCCGGAGAGGGAGCCUGAGAAACGGCUACCACAUCCAAGGAAGGCAGCAGGCGCGCAAAUUACCCAAUCCCGACACGGGGAGGUAGUGACAAUAAAUAACAAUACGGGGCUCUUUCGGGUCUCGUAACUGGAAUGAGUACAAUUUAAAUCCCUUAACGAGGAACAAUUGGAGGGCAAGUCUGGUGCCAGCAGCCGCGGUAAUUCCAGCUCCAAUAGCGUAUAUUAAAGUUGUUGCAGUUAAAAAGCUCGUAGUUGAAUUUCGGGAUUGACACAUCGGUCGUGCCCUAAGGGGUAUGAACUGGUGUCGUCAGUUUCUCACCUUCUGGAGAACCGCGAUGUCCUUAAUUGGGUGCCGCGAGGAACCAGGACCUUUACUUUGAAAAAAUUAGAGUGUUUAAAGCAGGCAUUUUGCUUGAAUACAUUAGCAUGGAAUAAUAAAAUAGGACGGAUGGUUCUAUUUUGUUGGUUUCUAGGAUCACCGUAAUGAUUAAUAGGGAUAGUUGGGGGCAUUAGUAUUCAAUUGUCAGAGGUGAAAUUCUUGGAUUUAUUGAAGACUAACUACUGCGAAAGCAUUUGCCAAGGAUGUUUUCAUUAAUCAAGAACGAAAGUUAGGGGAUCGAAGACGAUCAGAUACCGUCGUAGUCUUAACCAUAAACUAUGCCGACUAGGAAUCAGACGAUGUUAAUUUUUUAAUGACUCGUUUGGCACCUUACGGGAAACCAAAGUGUUUGGGUUC